This 482-nucleotide ribosomal RNA is filed under the name uncultured bacterium. Its description in RNAcentral is "partial 16S ribosomal RNA". It matches the Rfam family "Bacterial small subunit ribosomal RNA", at positions 28 to 523 of the family's 1533-position model. The record is from RNAcentral.
GAUGAACGCUGGCGGCGUGCCUAAUACAUGCAAGUCGAGCGAACCACUUCGGUGGUGAGCGGCGAACGGGUGAGUAACACGUAGGUUAUCUGACCAUCGGACGGGGACAACGAUUGGAAACGACCGCUAAUACCGGAUAGGACGAAAGUUUAAAGGUGCUUCGGCAACACUGAUGGAUGAGCCUGCGGCGCAUUAGCUAGUUGGUAGGGUAAAGGCCUACCAAGGCGACGAUGCGUAGCCGACCUGAGAGGGUGAACGGCCACACUGGGACUGAGACACGGCCCAGACUCCUACGGGAGGCAGCAGUAGGGAAUCUUCGGCAAUGGGCGAAAGCCUGACCGAGCAACGCCGCGUGAAUGAUGAAGGCCUUCGGGUUGUAAAAUUCUGUUAUAAGGGAAGAAUGGCUUUAGUAGGAAAUGGCUAGAGUGUGACGGUACCUUAUGAGAAAGCCACGGCUAACUACGUGCCAGCAGCCGCCGUAA